AACUCUCAACGAUGGAUGCCUCGGCUCGAGAAUCGAUGAAGGACGCAGCGAAGUGCGAUAAGCACUGCGAUUUGCAGAAUUCCGUGAACCAGUAGAAAUCUCAACGCAUACUGC
RNAcentral lists this ribosomal RNA (114 nucleotides) under Perkinsus marinus ATCC 50983. Its description in RNAcentral is "5.8S ribosomal RNA". It matches the Rfam family "5.8S ribosomal RNA", at positions 1 to 114 of the family's 154-position model. From Rfam's summary of the family: 5.8S ribosomal RNA (5.8S rRNA) is a component of the large subunit of the eukaryotic ribosome. It is transcribed by RNA polymerase I as part of the 45S precursor that also contains 18S and 28S rRNA. Functionally, it is thought that 5.8S rRNA may be involved in ribosome translocation. Lineage: Eukaryota; Perkinsozoa; Perkinsida; Perkinsidae. The record is from Rfam by way of RNAcentral.